This 425-nucleotide ribosomal RNA is filed under the name uncultured rumen bacterium. RNAcentral's name for it is "bacterial SSU rRNA". It matches the Rfam family "Bacterial small subunit ribosomal RNA", at positions 354 to 776 of the family's 1533-position model. The record is from RNAcentral.
GUGAGGAAUAUUGGACAAUGGCCGAGAGGCUGAUCCAGCCAUGCCGCGUGCGGGAAGACGGCCCUAUGGGUUGUAAACCGCUUUUGUUGGGGAGCAAUAAGGUCCACGUGUGGAUCGAUGAGAGUACCCAGCGAAUAAGCAUCGGCUAACUCCGUGCCAGCAGCCGCGGUAAUACGGAGGAUGCAAGCGUUAUCCGGAUUUAUUGGGUUUAAAGGGUGCGUAGGCGGAUGCCUAAGCGUGAGGUGAAAUCCCCGGGCUCAACCUGGGAACUGCCUCGCGAACUGGGUGUCUGGAAUGCCCCUGCCGUGGGAGGAAUGUGUGGUGUAGCGGUGAAAUGCAUAGAGAUCACACAGAACACCGAUUGCGAAGGCAUCUCACGAAGGGGUGAUUGACGCUGAGGCACGAAAGCGUGGGGAUCAAACAGG